This 474-nucleotide ribosomal RNA is filed under the name uncultured organism. RNAcentral describes it as "partial 16S ribosomal RNA". It matches the Rfam family "Bacterial small subunit ribosomal RNA", at positions 334 to 799 of the family's 1533-position model. The record is from RNAcentral.
CACUCCUGCGGGAGGCAGCAGUGGGGAAUUUUGGACAAUGGGCGAAAGCCUGAUCCAGCAAUGCCGCGUGAGUGAAGAAGGCCUUCGGGUUGUAAAGCUCUUUUGUCAGGGAAGAAACGGUGAAAGCUAAUAUCUUUUGCUAAUGACGGUACCUGAAGAAUAAGCACCGGCUAACUACGUGCCAGCAGCCGCGGUAAUACGUAGGGUGCAAGCGUUAAUCGGAAUUACUGGGCGUAAAGCGUGCGCAGGCGGUUUUGUAAGUCUGAUGUGAAAUCCCCGGGCUCAACCUGGGAAUUGCAUUGGAGACUGCAAGGCUAGAAUCUGGCAGAGGGGGGUAGAAUUCCACGUGUAGCAGUGAAAUGCGUAGAUAUGUGGAGGAACACCGAUGGCGAAGGCAGCCCCCUGGGUCAAGAUUGACGCUCAUGCACGAAAGCGUGGGGAGCAAACAGGAUUAGAAACCCCUGUAGUCCCAUG